This 684-nucleotide ribosomal RNA is filed under the name uncultured Staphylococcus sp. Its description in RNAcentral is "bacterial SSU rRNA". It matches the Rfam family "Bacterial small subunit ribosomal RNA", at positions 65 to 735 of the family's 1533-position model. The record is from RNAcentral. Lineage: Bacteria; Bacillati; Bacillota; Bacilli; Caryophanales; Staphylococcaceae.
AACGGACGAGAAGCUUGCUUCUCUGAUGUUAGCGGCGGACGGGUGAGUAACACGUGGAUAACCUACCUAUAAGACUGGGAUAACUUCGGGAAACCGGAGCUAAUACCGGAUAAUAUUUUGAACCGCAUGGUUCAAAAGUGAAAGACGGUCUUGCUGUCACUUAUAGAUGGAUCCGCGCUGCAUUAGCUAGUUGGUAAGGUAACGGCUUACCAAGGCAACGAUGCAUAGCCGACCUGAGAGGGUGAUCGGCCACACUGGAACUGAGACACGGUCCAGACUCCUACGGGAGGCAGCAGUAGGGAAUCUUCCGCAAUGGGCGAAAGCCUGACGGAGCAACGCCGCGUGAGUGAUGAAGGUCUUCGGAUCGUAAAACUCUGUUAUUAGGGAAGAACAUAUGUGUAAGUAACUGUGCACAUCUUGACGGUACCUAAUCAGAAAGCCACGGCUAACUACGUGCCAGCAGCCGCGGUAAUACGUAGGUGGCAAGCGUUAUCCGGAAUUAUUGGGCGUAAAGCGCGCGUAGGCGGUUUUUUAAGUCUGAUGUGAAAGCCCACGGCUCAACCGUGGAGGGUCAUUGGAAACUGGAAAACUUGAGUGCAGAAGAGGAAAGUGGAAUUCCAUGUGUAGCGGUGAAAUGCGCAGAGAUAUGGAGGAACACCAGUGGCGAAGGCGACUUUCUGGUCU